RNAcentral lists this long non-coding RNA (2299 nucleotides) under Homo sapiens (human). RNAcentral's name for it is "HSALNT0066871". Lineage: Eukaryota; Metazoa; Chordata; Mammalia; Primates; Hominidae. The record is from RNAcentral.
CAGGAAAUCAACAUUCAAGGGGAGACCCAAUGAAGAAGAUAGUGCCAGAACUUAAUGGAGGCAGCCCAAGAGGAACGUGUACCUGGGGAAGUCAAGAGCUAUUUCUUGGACAUUUGUGCCUCUAUUCCAAACUCUUCUCUCAGAGUAGAUGACAACUCAGGAAGGAGCCAGAGAUCUUCCUCAGUUGACUUGUUCAGAAAUAUGAUUUGGGAUUCAGUCUGGCCCGAAGCCAUGCUUCCAGCCUCAUCUCCACUGUGCACUUUCCAUGGCGUUCUGUCUUGGUCCACUUGGCUUGUGUAGCUGCCUGGCCUGGGUUGUCCUCCCCACCCUUGUCUGCUUGGUGGCACUUGGCCCUGUUCUAAUUGCUUCUGCUCGGGCAGCUUCUCUCCUCCCUCCUCUGUGCUCUGAGCACACUGGACAGAUUCCUGUUAGAGCUGUCACUGUCUUCCUGCUGUCUGCCCACUGACCUUGGAGCUCCAGGAGGACAGGAGCCUUAUCUUACCCCAUGACAUGGCCUAUGCCCAGCCUGGUGCCAACGUGGUCUGGAGGUAUCUGUAGGCUGAAUGAAAUUCUUCCCUCUGGGAUGCCCUUUAAAGUUGUUUUCUUUCUGGAACCUGGGGCAGUGACUGGAAUGGUUGGAAUGUGGCCUUGGUUUGCCAUUGGGUGUUUUGUUCCUCCGAGCAUUGGCUGGACUCUCUGGUGAUUUCUGGUCUUGAAGGACUUCCUGUUUUAAAUGUCUGUGGGGUUGUGGUUCCCGAGCUGCUGCACUGUCUCCCAUAACCUUUCUCUCUAUCCUGGCCUGGUCUCUCUUCCACACCAGAACUUUCCUCUAGAUCAAUGGUCCAGGACCAUCAGAACCAGUGAACCACACUCCUGACCAUUCUCCAAAUAGUCAUUUGGCCAAAUACGAGGAGAACCAUGGAGAGGAGGGGAGGCUGGACCGGGCUUCACCUCACACGGUGCAGGAAUGGCCACAAAGUCCUGAUGAAGAGCAGCCCCUGCGGGACAUCCCUGACAAACAACCCUACAGCUUCUGCUUGAGUCUCCCCAGCAUGGGGAACUCACCACCUUCCAAGGCACCUCUCUUGUAAAUGAAGAAAUUAAAACUGCAAGUUGAAACUGAGUCACUGAUGGCGCCAGAUGUUUCUGGAGCAAAACUGGGAAAGAGGGUGAGCAUUGGAAAGACACCUCCUCCUGUUAUCUUCGAGAAGCCAUUUACUGGGAAAACAAAAACUGAGCUCCAUGAUGCAUAAAUUCCAAAAUGCAGAGGCCAAUUUCUUUCCCUUUGACCACAUGUCGGAAAGGCUCGGGGUUCAGUAACUGGAGGAGGCAGUGUUUAAUCCCAAUUUUACCAGUGAAGAAACUGAGGCUCAGAAAAACAAAGUGACUCCAAAUUCCUUGAGCACCUGGCCAGGGUCAGUCCCCACGGUGGCUGAGAUGGUUGACCAAUGGCCUCUGGGGAGAAGGCUAUGGGCACAGACACUGGUCCCUGGCUUGUUGGGAGGGAACAAGGAUGUCCAUCUGUCCUCCCUCAACACUGCCUCCUGGGGGACAAGGAAGAUGCCCAGAGUGAGUGGGCAGGGUGGGCGAUGGACUCAUACCCUGCCUUGGUGUCUCUGUGGCUCCUGGAAGAUCCUUGCAAGCAGCGGUGAGCACUGUGACUUGAGCCCUGCGGUGGUGGCUUGCCAUGUGGCCAGUCAAGGUGGACGAUGGACUCAUAUGCUGCCUGGGUGUCUCUGUGACUCUUGGGAGAUCCUUGCUGGCAGCGGUGAGCACUGUGACUUCAGCCCUGCAGUGGUAGCUGGUCACAUGGCCAGUCAAGGCUCAGUCUUCUUAGUAAUCAAAGGACUGAAAGUGUCCAGUAGCUUUGGAUGAUGGUUGAGGACUCGUUAAUAAAGACCACUGCCCUAUGGGAAUGCGUUAUACUCUCUGGAAUGAGCCGUGCAGGUGGGCUCAGAGAACAUACCAUUUGCACACUCAUAACAAUGUAAAAGUAUGAAAGUAAAAGUCAUAUGAAAUCCUCCUGUGCAGAGCUAGUUAAUGUUGGGUGACUGUCACUCCAGGCAUCUGUCUUUGCACUUGCAAGAGGGAUAACAUGUAGGUAAAUAGGAAAACACUGUACAGUAUAUGCUAUCCUUUACUUACUUUAGUCAAUGGUAUAUCAACAAACAUAAAUCUAUAUCAUUUUAACUGCAUCUGAUUCCAUUGUAUGAAUGUACCUUACUUUAUUUAAUCAGUAGGCUUCUGAUUGCAAUUUGCAUUGGGUUUUGCAUUUCAGCCAUCUUUCGUGAUCCUUAAA